Molecule: ribosomal RNA, 2020 nt
Filed under: Mesotoga sp. H07.pep.5.3
Lineage: Bacteria; Thermotogati; Thermotogota; Thermotogae; Kosmotogales; Kosmotogaceae
Description: bacterial LSU rRNA
Rfam family: Bacterial large subunit ribosomal RNA
Source: RNAcentral
GAGGGGGUAGAGCACUGAUUGGGCUAGGGGGGCGACCUCCAACCCCAGUCAAACUCCGAAUACCUCUACUCAAAGUGCAGGAGACAGACUGCGAGCGAUAAGGUCCGUAGUCGAGAGGGAAACAGCCCAGACCACCAGCUAAGGGCCCAGAGAGAUAGCUAAGUGUUAAAGGAAGUGGAGAGUCAAAGACAGCUAGGAUGUUGGCUUAGAAGCAGCCAUCAUUAAAAGAGUGCGUAACAGCUCACUAGUCGAGACUCACCGCGCCGAAGAUGUAAGGGGGCUAAAGCUAUCCUCCGAAGCUGUGGAACAGGAAACUGUUGGUAGAGGAGCAUUGUGUUGUAGGGAGAAGGCAGACCCGUGAGGGCUGUUGGACGAGACACAAGAGAGAAUGCAGGCAUGAGUAAACGAAAGGAGAGUGAGAAUCUCUCCCCCCGAAAGCCUAAGGGUACCUGGGGAAGGUUCGUCCGCCCAGGGUUAGUCGAGACCCUAAGGGGAACCCGAAAGGGGUAACCGAUGGGAAACCGGUUAAUAUUCCGGUACUGGCGUAGCAUGAGUUUUGGGGUGUGACACAGGAGGAUAGGCGUUGCGUACUAGUUGCAUAGUGCGUCCAAGUUUCAAGUCCGAAGAUCGCGGCAGGGAAAUCCACCGCGGGAGGGUGAGGGACGAAUGGGAGUUCCUUCGGGAGCAACAACGUUGAGUUCACACUGUCUAGAAAAGCAUCGCAAAGCGUUUGAGUGCUAAGCCAAUCGUUCUGAAAACCGACACAGGUAGGCAAGCUGAGAAGGCUAAGGGGAGCGGGAUAACUCCUGUUAAGGAACUAGGCAAAUUAGCCCCGUAACUUAGGGAGAAGGGGUACUCUGGUUGGUUAAGAGCUGACUGGAGUCGCAGUGACAAGGCAGCGGCGACUGUUUACCAAAAACACAGGGCUCUGCGAAUUCGAGAAGAAGACGUAUAGGGUCUGACGCCUGCCCAGUGCUGGAAGGUUAAGGGGAAAGGUUAGCGUAAGCGAAGCUUUGAACUGAAGCCCCAGUAAACGGCGGCCGUAACUAUAACGGUCCUAAGGUAGCGAAAUUCCUUGUCGGGUAAGUUCCGACCUGCACGAAUGGCGUAACGAUCGCUGCACUGUCUCAACAGGAGACCCGGUGAAAUUUCAGUCUGGGUGAAGAUGCCCAGGACUCGCAACUAGACGGAAAGACCCCAUGGAGCUUUACUGUAGCUUGGUAUUGUGCUUUGUUGUAUGGUGUACAGGAUAGGUAGGAGGCGUAGAACCCGGUUCGCCAGGAUCGGGGGAGCCAACGGUGGGAUACUACCCUCUAUACAACGGAGUACUAACUUGAGAGUGUGGAGAGCACAACAAGGACAUUGCUAAGUGGGCAGUUUGACUGGGGCGGUCGCCUCCAAAAGAGUAACGGAGGCGCGCUAAGGUUGGCUCAGGUUGGUUGGAAAUCAACCAUAGAGUGUAAGGGCAAAAGCCAGCUUGACUGUGAGACUGACAGGUCGAACAGGAGGGAAACCUGGCCCUAGUGACCCUGCGGCCCUGAGUGGAAAGGCCGUUGAUCAACGGAUAAAAGCUACCCUGGGGAUAACAGGCUUAUACUGCCCGAGAGUUCAUAUCGACGGCAGUGUUUGGCACCUCGAUGUCGGCUCAUCGCAUCCUGGGGCUGGAGCAGGUCCCAAGGGUUAGGCUGUUCGCCUAUUAAAGCGGUACGUGAGCUGGGUUCAGAACGUCGUGAGACAGUUCGGUCCCUAUCUGUUGCGAGCGUAGGAGACUUGAGAAGGGUAGCCCCUAGUACGAGAGGACCGGGGUUAGUGAACCUCUAGUGAAUCAGUUGUCGUGCAAGCGGCAGUAGCUGAGUAGCUACGUUCAUGAGUGAUAACCGCUGACAGCAUCUAAGCGGGAAGCACGCUUCAAGACUAGGUCUCUCAGGAUCGUUCGAGAAGAGGACGUAGAUAGGCUGGAGAUGUAAGCACUGUGAAGUGUUCAGUCGACCAGUACUAAUAAUCCGAUUCCUUUACCUUA